Long non-coding RNA from Ornithodoros turicata, 1713 nucleotides. RefSeq lists it as uncharacterized. The record is from RefSeq and is a predicted model, not a curated record. The transcript is spliced from 2 exons. NCBI's taxonomy places the organism in Eukaryota, Metazoa, Arthropoda, Arachnida, Ixodida, Argasidae.
ACCCAUGUAGAGGGACACUACCUCUACAUUUGGUGACCCGAACGAUGAACAUCAAGCUCGGAGCAAUUCGGCCCUUCACCAUCCCAAAUUUCUGACGACACCAUCGACUAGCACUACCACGGCACGCUCUCCCUGGAAGCCACCGCCAUUACUCGGCUCAUCACGACGACAUCACGACCGCUGCUCGCCUCUCGAUCAACACGCAGACAGCUCCCGUGCCGCUUCCGUCCACACUUCCGAUCCGCUACCGACCCGACCGACCGACCCGCAACGACACGACCGCUCAAUGAUCAUCGCAUCUGCCCACCGACCAUCGCUUCAUGGCUUCCAGGGACCGACCUGCGCUGUCCACGGCCUCCGGCACACGACCUACUGCUUCAUUUCAUGCAUUUCGACGCUCAUCCCCUGCCGGCCGCGACACCAGAGCAAAGUGCUCGCCUGCCGGUUUCGGCAGUCGUGGCAGCUGACGCCACGGCACGUCUUCAGCCGGCGUCUCGGCAGCCAUCUCGGCUAACACAGCCUCGCUAUUCCUGGGAUCGACCCUACGAGCUCUCGCGCUCUCGCUCCCGUGCCGGUUGCGGCACGCCACGACUCUGACGCUCGACUCCGACGCCCAACGACAUCACCCCUCAUCUGGCCCGCUCAUCGACAGUUUCUGCCAACGGGUGUUGUGCCGUGCCACGAACACAUCGAAUAGUGCACGUCUUCCACGGUCGAUCCUGCUCUCUUUCUCCUGUGUUGACGUCGGUCAUCGUACUUCUUUGUCGCCGCUCCGCGUCUGAGCGGGGAGCACUGUAGCAGGCCGUGGACAACGACGAAGAUGGCCACGCCGCCUGGAGCACCGGCCUCAGUUCCAUCAGCGCGGCCAUGGAGAUAGGCCACCGUCAUCGCCUCUCCGUGGCAUACCAUCACCGUCGGUCGGGACUCAUGUAGAGGAACUCCACCUCCUCUACACAUGUAUCGAUAACCAGAGCGUCCCGAGGAUGUCAAGGUUCGAAUGCUGCUUGCUGGUUCAUGAUGAUGGCAGUGCGCAAAGCCGCCGUGCAGUCACACCGAAACGCCACACCGCCUGACAUUUACCAGACGAGCGCCCCCAUUGCAUAAUGACGACGUAGAGAACAGUCAACCUUAUGCACCAUGAUCUGGUAAUUAAAGGGGUCGUGAAAUGAUUUUCUCACUUAUGGAGGAGUCAUAUGUUGAUGGCAAGGAGCUUUGUCUCCCGAAGCUACUAAGCAAUAGUUUUGUCGUCCAUGCAAUAUCGGCUUCGGACAUUAUUGCAUACCGGAAACCGGGCACCAUGGGAAAGGCGCCGUCGCUCUCACCCUCGGUUCUCACAAAUAUAAUGCGCAUCAUACUGGACAACCAGAGCUCUGCGGACAAUGACAUGCGCACACUCCUCUUCGUGGGAGGGUGCGAGGCUGACCUGCUUUCAUGGUAACCCUCUGCUCCUCCGUAGGAAAAUUGCCUGUUCAGAGCCUGUUCGGCGUUGGGCGAUGCCUAUCGAGCGUUCGAAAGCGCAUUCUUUCUUUCUUUUUGCGUCAAUGUCAUUAAGAAAGUAGUGUGCUCCGGAGACAAGUCUUCUUUGUACAUAUGGGCAACAACACUACAAACAAUGCAUUAACUAUUUGUGGUUAGAGAUUGCACCUUGAUAUGAGAAUGUAGCGUGUGCCGUAUACGCCCGGAAAAAACGUCAGCCUCCAGCUUACAAAUCAU